GUGUCCUACGGGGGGCAGCAGUGGGGAAUAUUGCACAAUGGGGGGAACCCUGAUGCAGCAAUGCCGCGUGAAGGAUGAAGGUUUUCGGAUUGUAAACUUCUUUUGUACGGGACGAAGAAAGUGACGGUACCGUAAGAAUAAGCCACGGCUAACUACGUGCCAGCAGCCGCGGUAAUACGUAGGUGGCAAGCGUUAUCCGGAUUUACUGGGUGUAAAGGGCGAGUAGGCGGGAUGCAAGGACGGUGGUGAAACCAUGGGGUCAACCG
RNAcentral lists this ribosomal RNA (266 nucleotides) under uncultured bacterium. RNAcentral's name for it is "partial 16S ribosomal RNA". It matches the Rfam family "Bacterial small subunit ribosomal RNA", at positions 334 to 615 of the family's 1533-position model. The record is from RNAcentral.